Molecule: ribosomal RNA, 119 nt
Filed under: Microtus ochrogaster (prairie vole)
Lineage: Eukaryota; Metazoa; Chordata; Mammalia; Rodentia; Cricetidae
Source: RNAcentral
GACUAGAGCCAUACCAUUCCGAAUAUACACACUCUGGUUUAUUCAUGGAACCUAAGCAGAAACACAUCUAUUCAGUACUAGGAUUGGAGAGUGCCUUGAAAUACUAGAUGCUGUAGGCU